CUGGCUCAGGAUGAACGCUGGCGGUCUGCUUAACACAUGCAAGUCGAACGCAACCUUCGGGUUGAGUGGCGGACGGGUGAGUAACGCGUGAGAAUCUGCCUUGGGGUCGGGGACAACCACUGGAAACGGUGGCUAAUACCGGAUAAGCCUUUGGGUAAAAGAUUUAUUGCCCCAAGAGGAGCUCGCGUCUGAUUAGCUAGUUGGUGAGGUAAGAGCUCACCAAGGCAGCGAUCAGUAGCUGGUCUGAGAGGACGAUCAGCCACACUGGGACUGAGACACGGCCCAGACUCCUACGGGAGGCAGCAGUGGGGAAUUUUCCGCAAUGGGCGAAAGCCUGACGGAGCAAGACCGCGUGAGGGAGGAAGGCUCUUGGGUUGUAAACCUCUUUUCUCAGGGAAGAAGCUCUGACGGUACCUGAGGAAUCAGCCUCGGCUAACUCCGUGCCAGCAGCCGCGGUAAUACGGAGGAGGCAAGCGUUAUCCGGAAUUAUUGGGCGUAAAGCGUCCGCAGGUGGCGAUUCAAGUCUGCUGUCAAAGCACGGGGCUUAACUCCGUUAAGGCAGUGGAAACUGAAUAGCUAGAGUGCCGUAGGGGUAGAGGGAAUUCCCGGUGUAGCGGUGAAAUGCGUAGAGAUCGGGAAGAACAUCGGUGGCGAAAGCGCUCUACUGGACGGCAACUGACACUCAGGGACGAAAGCUAGGGGAGCGAAUGGGAUUAGAUACCCCAGUAGUCCUAGCUGUAAACGAUGGAUACUAGGUGUAGCUUGUAUCGACCCGAGCUGUGCCGAAGCUAACGCGUUAAGUAUCCCGCCUGGGGAGUACGCACGCAAGUGUGAAACUCAAAGGAAUUGACGGGGGCCCGCACAAGCGGUGGAGUAUGUGGUUUAAUUCGAUGCAACGCGAAG
Molecule: ribosomal RNA, 903 nt
Filed under: uncultured organism
Description: bacterial SSU rRNA
Rfam family: Bacterial small subunit ribosomal RNA
Source: RNAcentral